Mesocricetus auratus (golden hamster) is the source of this 125-nucleotide non-coding RNA. The record is from Ensembl. Lineage: Eukaryota; Metazoa; Chordata; Mammalia; Rodentia; Cricetidae.
GACCUUGUGCCUACUGGGCUGUGGGGAUCCCUUUCCUCAGCCAGGGCUAGAGGCCAAGAUCAGCCCUUGACACAGUCAUGAGAACUGCAUGGGUGAGCAGCCCCGUAUUCCUACUGCAGACAUUC